AUUGCUGUGGCAAUAUUCAAAUAGAAUAUACUACAGUAGUAUAUUCUAUUUGAAUAUUGCCACAGCGAUAAGAUGAAAGU
Non-coding RNA from Paramuricea clavata, 80 nucleotides. NCBI's taxonomy places the organism in Eukaryota, Metazoa, Cnidaria, Anthozoa, Malacalcyonacea, Plexauridae. The record is from the annotation of a GenBank genome assembly.